This 28-nucleotide small RNA is filed under the name Bombyx mori (domestic silkworm). RNAcentral's name for it is "ovarian small RNA-32423". The record is from RNAcentral. Lineage: Eukaryota; Metazoa; Arthropoda; Insecta; Lepidoptera; Bombycidae.
UGAUAGAAUAGCACCUACUCCAUUGGGC